This 68-nucleotide transfer RNA is filed under the name Diplometopon zarudnyi. RNAcentral describes it as "tRNA-Met". The record is from RNAcentral. Lineage: Eukaryota; Metazoa; Chordata; Lepidosauria; Squamata; Trogonophidae.
AGUAAAGUCAGCUAAGUAAGCUCUUGGGCCCAUACCCCAAAAAUGUUGGAUACACCCUUCCUUUACUA